AUACGUAGGGGGCAAGCGUUAUCCGGAAUCAUUGGGCGUAAAGAGUGCGUAGGUGGUUUCUUAAGCGUGGGGUUUAAGGCUACGGCUUAACCGUAGUUCGCCCCAUGAACUGGGAGACUUGAGUGCAGGAGAGGGAAGCGGAAUUCCAAGUGUAGCGGUGAAAUGCGUAGAUAUUUGGAGGAACACCAGUGGCGAAGGCGGCUUUCUGGACUGCAACUGACGUUGAGGCGCGAAAGCGUGGGGAGCGAACAGGAUUAGAUACCCUGGUAGUCCACGCUGUAAACGAUGGAUGCUAGGUGUGGGGGGUAUCGACCCCCUCCGUGCCGGAGUUAACGCAAUAAGCAUCCCGCCUGGGGAGUACGGCCGCAAGGUUGAAACUCAAAUGAAUUGACGGGG
This 396-nucleotide ribosomal RNA is filed under the name uncultured bacterium. RNAcentral's name for it is "partial 16S ribosomal RNA". It matches the Rfam family "Bacterial small subunit ribosomal RNA", at positions 523 to 918 of the family's 1533-position model. The record is from RNAcentral.